AGCGGACACAUAAACAAUUCAAACAAAAGACAACGACAUAACCUGGUCCCCAGUCCGAGGUCGGCGGCGAGGGUCGCGGAGGCGGGCUAAGAGGCGGACAAGGACUAUGGUGGAGUGGGGUCCACGUCCCGCGCCAGAGCCGCCGCCGCGGACAGACACCCACCCAGACCCUCCCCUAUAGGGGGUACUGUUACGUUCUUACCUUAGUUCUUUUGUUAUGUCUUUGUUUUAGUAUGGUCAGGGCGUGAGUUGGGUGGGUUGUCUAUGUUAGUUUUUCUAUGAUUUGCUAUUUCUGUGUUUGGCCUGGUAUGGUUCUCAAUCAGAGGCAGCUGUCAAUCGUUGUCCUUGAUUGAGAACCAUAUUUAGGGAGCCUGUUUUCUAUUGUGUUUCGUGGGUGAUUAUUUUCUCGUGGGUGAUUAUUUUCUGUUGUGUGUCUGCACCAGCCUGAACUGUUUUCGGUCGGUUCUCUUUGUUAUUUCCGUGUUCAUUCUAAUAAAUAUGGACACAUACCACGCUG
This is a long non-coding RNA of Oncorhynchus keta (chum salmon), 517 nucleotides long. RefSeq lists it as uncharacterized. Lineage: Eukaryota; Metazoa; Chordata; Actinopteri; Salmoniformes; Salmonidae. The transcript is spliced from 2 exons. The record is from RefSeq and is a predicted model, not a curated record.